RNAcentral lists this ribosomal RNA (273 nucleotides) under Synechococcus sp. UW106. Its description in RNAcentral is "partial 16S ribosomal RNA". It matches the Rfam family "Bacterial small subunit ribosomal RNA", at positions 1262 to 1533 of the family's 1533-position model. The record is from RNAcentral. RNAcentral also lists the same sequence under 1 other name. Lineage: Bacteria; Bacillati; Cyanobacteriota; Cyanophyceae; Synechococcales; Synechococcaceae.
GACAAGCAAAUCCCAUAAACCGUGGCUCAGUUCAGAUCGUAGGCUGCAACUCGCCUACGUGAAGGAGGAAUCGCUAGUAAUCGCAGGUCAGCAUACUGCGGUGAAUACGUUCCCGGGCCUUGUACACACCGCCCGUCACACCAUGGAAGUUGGCCACGCCCGAAGCCGUUACUCCAACCCUUGUGGAGGAGGACGUCGAAGGUGGGGCUGAUGACUGGGGUGAAGUCGUAACAAGGUAUCCGUACCGGAAGGUGCGGAUGGAUCACCUCCUAA